This 5992-nucleotide long non-coding RNA is filed under the name Sus scrofa (pig). RNAcentral describes it as "lncRNA (ENSSSCG00055024618.1)". The record is from RNAcentral. Lineage: Eukaryota; Metazoa; Chordata; Mammalia; Artiodactyla; Suidae.
UUUUUUUUUUUUUUUUUUUUUUUUUCUGUUCAUAGGAUGUGUCUGAACCCCUCCUGCCUGCUGGCUUUUUGAAAAUUUAUUUCAGGUCCUGGCUGAGAUGACAUUCGAUGAACAUAUUCACACAAUGAACACAUUUCCUAAAAGGAUGAUCACUACAAUCAAGCUAGUGGAUUUAUCCAUCAGCUCAUGCUGUUACCUUUUUUUGCAGAGGGGGUAAGAACACUUAAGAUCUUCUCUAUAGGAGUUCCUGCUGUGGCGCAGUGGAAAUGAAUCUGACUAGGAACCAUGAGGACGUGGGUUUGAUCCCUGGCCUCGAUCAGUGGGUUAAGGAUAUGGCGUUGCCUUGAGCUGUGGUGUAGGUCGCAGAUGUGAGCAGGUUGAUCUGAAUAUAGCAAAGAAAGUGCUGCCUUACCAAAAGAUUGGCAGGAACAGGAUGGAUUGUGACAGGGCUUGAGAUUUAGGCACAAUGGUAAACUGAAAAAAAAAAAAAAUCUACUGAAAUGAAAAAUUGUGAUUUUAGAGGCAGAAAGCCUGAGGGUUUUUUUUUUUUCCCCCUACUUUUGUUACACAUUCCAUUUCUAAGUCCUGGGCAUCAGCUUCCUUAUUUGCAAAAUGAGGGAAUUUGUACUGAGUGCAGAUGGCCAAGUGUAAAGAUUCUUGAAAGUGGGAAAAAAAUAUGACUGUGCCCUUCUUCAAACAUUUACUGAGUGCCUGCUUUGAGAUGGGAACUGACCUAAGUAUUUCUUUAGAGAGAUGAUAAGACAUUCUCUCAUGCUCCAAGGGUUGCUAGGUAGGAGAAAGGAGUAAUUGAACAAAAAUUCUCCAACAACUGGGUAGAUGUUGGAAAGGUAAUAGUGAAUAGUUGAACAGAGAGUAAGCGUGGUAAAAUAUUGCAGCAUUUCAGGAAGAAUUCCAUGGCAAUUCUUGGCAAAAUGAAUUAAAGAGGAUGGAUGCCUAAUGCUAGUGAAGAGUUUAUAGCUCCAGUUUACUGAUCCUAGGUCUAGGGUCAGACUAUUGGAGUGAAGCGCUGAAGUGGACUGGAGGAGACAUUUGGUGUUCAAAAUGUCAAGAUUCUAAAAGACGGAAUAUUUAGUGAGUCAUUUGCAUAUACCGUAAUGGCGGCAGGAUUACUCCUUGUUUAUAAAGAUGUCCUAUAUGGAAAUAGGUCCUUGAUAAUUGAGGGGGGUUGACUUCAAUCCUUGGUGAGUUAUUAUAGCCUGGAGGAUAGAUUUCCAAGAAGCAGCAAAUGUUCAUUACCUGUAGCAUGUUUUAUCUGGGCUUCUCAAACUUUAAUGUGCAUAAAAGUCACCUGGGGUCUUGUUAUGCUGAUUCAAUAAUUCCUGGGUGGGACCUGGGAUUCUGUGUUUUAAAAAAUCCUCUGGUUGGUUGCACUUGAGUAACAGGUGUGAUAUUUUUCACUGAUAGCUUCAACCUAAAUAAGUUACUCUCCUCAAAUCCCAUGUCUGUGGCCAAAAUUUGGAAAAUAGAGGAAAAACACUUUGUCUCUUAUUCUACAACUCAGUUAUCAUAAUUUCGUGAGUCAUAAUUUCUUCUUAAAGUUGUCUUAUACCAUAUUAAUAGAUUUUAUUUUCUAAUUUUUACCUAACAUAGGAGUUUACAUCAUAAAAUUUUCCAUGUUAUCACUUAAACAGUUUAAUUAGGUGUUUAAUAUUCUACUAGGUAUCAUAGUCAAUCAUUAAGCUAUUAAUUUAAACCUAUAUUAUAUCAACUUUCGCCUAUUGGUGAAAUAAUGGCAGCCUAUGAAUAUCUGUGUGUAUUUUAAGUAUAUAUGAAAUUUCUUUACUGUAGAAUAAAUUCCCAGAAAUGGGAAACUGGUAAAAGUUAUUAUUGUUAUUCUUAGUUCUUAUUGCCAAAUUAGAUUACUUGGCCAUUUCAUUCUUCUACCUGCAAUAAUAAUAAGGUUAUUUAUUGGGCUCUUUAACCUUUUAAGUGUUUGCUAAUUUAAUGAGUGACAAUUUAUAACCUUCUUUAUUUUAAUUCGCUAUGACUCUUUGAUUACUAACCAAGGUAGGUGGUUUUACACUGACAAGUGUAGUAAAAUUACAGUUUCAUCAGCUGUGGCAUCAGACCACUUGAGUUCAAAUCCUGACUGCCAAAUACUAGAUGGUAUUUUUGAGGAAGUUACUUAACUUCUCUGUGGUUUUCUUCCUGCUUUGCAAAAUCUAAGUAUAUAUGAUGGUAUUUUUGAGGAAGUUGCUUAACUUCUCUGUGGUUUUCUUCCUGCUUUGCAAAAUCUAAGUAUAUAUGGCAUCUAUGUCAUGUGGAUCUUCCAAGUGUUACAUCAGAUAACAUUUGAAAAGACCCUAGGAUAGUGUUUAGCACAUAUGGAGAGUCAAUAAUUAUUAGUAGUUAUGUUUUCCAUUGUGAAUGGUCUAUUUGUGCUUUUUGCUUGUGUGCAUUUGUUACUGAAAAUGUUCACACUAAUUAAUAAUUAGAAGUCAAGGGUGGAAGCAGUUAUUUAGAUUUGUACUGUCUAUAUUGUAAUUAGUCACAUGGGACAAUUUAAUUAAUUAAGUUUAAAUAGAAUAAAAAUUAAGUUCUUUGGCCAUUUUAACUACUUACCAAGUGGCACUAGUCCCACACGUCUAGUGACUUUCGUAUUGGGCAGUGCAGGUGUAAGGAGCAUUUUCUUCAUCACUGAAUGUUUUAUGGACAGUGCUGAUAUGGAUUAUUCUUAUCAUGGAGAUUAAAUUGUCUUUUGAACAGUGACUAAUCCAGUCUUUUACCGACAUUCCCACUUCACUUUGCUACUGGAGUUCAGGCAUAAAUUUAUUGUUCUGUUAUUUGAGAUUUUCAGAUGUAUUUCUUUAAUUACUUAAAGCAACUCUGGUAAUGACACAACAAAGGCAUCCGAAACAGGUGUCAGGAAGGGGAGUUUAUUUUAUAUUUGGGUAAAUAGAAUCAAGGAAAAGUGAAGUGCUGGAAAUGCUUUAUAAUUUUUCUUGGGAUAGUAAUGGAAAGAAAAUAAUCAGAUAACUUUUCAUUUAUUAUUUUUCCAAUAGUAGGCCAGAUGGAAGAUGCUUAGUUUCUUGAAAUAUUUAAAAUUAUUUUGUUUUUCUGUUAUUGGUACAUUAUUUAUAAUUGUCAAUAGUGGUUUGUUACAUAUAGUUAACCCAUAACCAACUUUACUGGGCAGCAAUAAAAUUGAUAUUGAUGGUUAUAAUCUAACAGGUUACUAAUAGGUUAUUCUCCUUUUUUACAGUAACAUUACUUGCCAAAGCACUUGAGGUAAUAGACAAAAUAAUAAUACAUAAAUUUUCAUAUACAUUGUACAUUGAAUAAAAUUAACUUUAAAAUAGUGAAAAUAAAAAAGAAUACUUAAAAUUUUUUGGUCUUCUAAGGUGUUGAUUCUUUCUAGAAUUCUUGGUAUCAAAGAAUGGCUCAUUUAUCACUCAAGGACAUUUACAUAAAUUUGAAAUGAAGUCUUGACAUCUAAAAGUGAUUUCAUGGAUCGUAUAGCUUCUAUAUUAUUAGAUAUAUAAUAUCUAUCUAUAUAUAUAUCUUAGGAAAAAAAUAGAAUGCCAGUAGUAAAACUGAAAUGCUAUAGGGAUUCAAAAAAGGCAGUUAACCAAGUCCUUUGAAGGGAAUCAAAAAGUGAUACAUGGGAGUUCCUGCUGUGGUGCAGUGGGUUAAGGACCUGGUGUUGCUGCAGUUGUGGCAUAGGUCUCAGCUGUGGCUCAGAUUCAGUCCCUGGCCCAGGAACUUCCAUAUGCCAAGAGUGUGACCCCAAAAAAAGUGAUAUAUGGACAACUUAACAUUAGUAAUGGACCUUAAAGGAUGGAGAGCACUUUCUUACAAAAUUUAAGAAUGUUCUUAUAAACUCAUAAAUGUUCAUGUAUUUGGUGUUGCAACCCAUUUCAGGUGUUAUCCUUUUUUUUUGACUGUCUGGAGCCCUAAUUGUGGCCUGUGGAGACCCUUCACUGGCUCCCUUCAUUACUCAAUUAUUCUUUCAUGGCUUCCUUGCCUUUUUAGGGCCACACCUGCAGCAUGUGAGGUUCCCAGGCUAGGGGUGGAACUGGAGCUGCAGCUACUGGCCUACGCCACAGCCACAGCAACGUGGGGUCUGAGCUGUGUCUGCGACCUACAUCCCAGCUCAUGGCAAUGCCAGAUCCUUACCCAGCUGAGCGAGGCCAGGGAUCCUCAUGGAUCCUAAUUGGGUGGGUUAACCUCUGAGCCAUGAAGGGAACUCCAUGGCUUCCUUACUUUCUUAACAAAACAACUUGGCAUACCUUAAAUAUGUCCUGCCUUAGCCUUGAAAUCAUAACAGGCAACAUUUAAAAAAGAGUCUGAGAUACUGAGAAAAAGUUUUGGAAGGCAGAAUAAAAGACAUGAGCAAAGCCCCUUAUAAAUGUUGAGGGAGACGUUGAGUCGGGAAAUGCUUCUGUGGGCCUCCCGAAGAAGUGGAGAGUGAGUAUACCGAAGAUGGCCGGGUUGUGGGGAAUUGGUUCUAAAAACUGUAGGCAAUGAUGAAUCGUCUCAUCAUUAUCAUUUAACAUUUUUAAACAGAUGGAUGACUUGAUUGCAAUUGAAUUUUAAAAAGGCAGAUUUAAAAAUGGUAUGUUUGAUGAGAAGAAACUGCAAAGAAAUUAAUUACAAGCUGUUAAAAUUAAUGUGAUGAAAGCUUAUGACAACUGUAGCAGGACUGGGCAAUAUUGAAUAGAUGGCCAGGGAUGGUCUAGAAAUAAAAUCCACAGUACUCAGGUACCGAUUGAAUACAGGAGCUCAGCAAAAAUUAGGAGUCAAAAGUGUUAAUGACCUUUGGAGUCUGGGAAUAUAGUCUUUCAACGUGUAUGGUAAGGUCAGGAGAAACAGUUGGACUUGUGAGAACCCUAACAUUUGGGACACAUCAAGGUAGACAGGUAUCUAAAUAUAAAUGUCCAGAGGACAACUGGAAACUUAAGUCCGAAGCCACAGAGGCUCAGGUCACUGCUGUGGCAUGAGUUCAAUCCCUGGCCCAGGAACUUCCACAUGCUGCCAAGGGCAGCAAAAACAAAACAAAACAAAGGAAAAAACCCCAAAAAAGCUAAGGAAGGAAAAGAGAGAUGUGACAGUUUUUGAUAUUGAGUUGGCAAUCCACCCAUAGAAGGGAUAUUGAUUGAAGAGAUUGUACAGAGAGAGAACAAGAUGGCUUGUUGAUCUUGUAUAGGUCUUAUCGUUUAAGGAGAAGGAAGACUAUAAGGAUUUGUUGAAGGGGACUGAGAGAGAGGCUGCCUAGAGUUCGGAGCAUGAAGGUUGGUAGUAUGUGGACUAAGAAAUGAGACGUUCUCAAGGAGGAGACAGCACUCAACUGAACUAUUAGAUGGAAGAAUCGGGAAAAGGCAUUUUGUUUUGCAGUUGUGUGGUCAAUGAAGGGUACACAACAUAAGUGGGAUUUCUCAAACAUGAGGAAUACCAGGAAUGGGUGUUCCUUGGAUUAAGAGACUGAAGUCUGGAAAUCCUUGUAGCCAAAUAGGACCUCCCAGAUGCAUCGUGGAGGGUUUAUCAUGGGAGGGUUGGGAACUAGGUAUGUGCAGCCACCAAAGGCUAGAUUCAAGAUAUCAACAGAUGAUCAAGAGCUAUAGACAGGGAACACAUGGGCAGGGUCCCAGGGCAAGGAGUGGAUCGGCUAAUAAAUAUCAAGAGCUGAGACAUAUUGUUGCCAGGUAACGUGACAGGAAAUUCUUUAGUUGUCUUUUAAUGCCACUUCUCAAUAGGAGCUUGUGGCUCUUAAGCACUGUCCUAGAAGUGGUGGUGGGGACGUCUGCAAUAAAUAAGCUCAUGAGACAAUCUGGAAUUAGCAGAGCUGAGUACUUUUGCAAGAAAUUUUUAGUGACAGGAAGAGAAAGUAGCUUCAGGAUGAAAUAGGAUCAAGAGAAGAGUUUUUAUGAGGUUACAGGAGAGUCGAACAUGUUUAUAGGCAGAAGGAAAGGAUUCUGAAAAACGAGGUGGGGAAUGAUACAAAGAUGGAAGCAAGAGGAAAUAAUUUUGGAAA